AACGAACGCUGGCGGCAUGCCUAACACAUGCAAGUCGAACGAGACCUUCGGGUCUAGUGGCGCACGGGUGCGUAACGCGUGGGAACUUGCCCUUAGGUUCGGAAUAACUCCCCGAAAGGGGUCCUAAUACCGGAUAAUGUCUUCGGACCAAAGAUUUAUCGCCUUUGGAUGGGCCCGCGUUGGAUUAGCUAGUUGGUAGGGUAAAAGCCUACCAAGGCGACGAUCCAUAGCUGGUCGGAGAGGAUGAUCAGCCACACUGGGACUGAGACACGGCCCAGACUCCGACGGAAGGCAGCAGUGGGGAAUAUUGGACAAUGGGCGAAAGCCUGAUACAGCAAUGCCGCGUGAGUGAUGAAGGCCUUAGGGUUGUAAAGCUCUUUUACCCGGGAUGAUAAUGACAGUACCGGGAGAAUAAGCUCCGGCUAACUCCGUG
RNAcentral lists this ribosomal RNA (433 nucleotides) under uncultured bacterium. Its description in RNAcentral is "partial 16S ribosomal RNA". It matches the Rfam family "Bacterial small subunit ribosomal RNA", at positions 29 to 507 of the family's 1533-position model. The record is from RNAcentral.